Molecule: ribosomal RNA, 262 nt
Filed under: uncultured bacterium
Lineage: Bacteria
Description: partial 16S ribosomal RNA
Rfam family: Bacterial small subunit ribosomal RNA
Source: RNAcentral
AACGAACGCUGGCGGCAUGCCUAACACAUGCAAGUCGAACGAGACCUUCGGGUCUAGUGGCGCACGGGUGCGUAACGCGUGGGAACCUGCCUUUAGGUUCGGAAUAACUCAGAGAAAUUUGAGCUAAUACCGGAUAAUGUCUUCGGACCAAAGAUUUAUCGCCUUUAGAUGGGCCCGCGUUGGAUUAGCUAGUUGGUGGGGUAAGGCCUACCAAGGCGACGAUCCAUAGCUGGUCUGAGAGGAUGAUCAGCCACACUGGGAC